AUGUUGCAGAAGUUUGUAGGAAUGCAUCCUCCUCUUGCUAUGCAAACUGAGGAAAUCAAAGUGAUGGGAAAGCAUUGUACAACAGCUGUUGACUUCGGAAUAUCUCAUGAACCAGUUAUACUCCUUGAUGCUCACGUAAAAUUAACUUAUUUUGCUCUCUGCAAUUGCAUAAUAGAACGGUUGAGCUAA
Molecule: ribosomal RNA, 189 nt
Filed under: Triticum aestivum (bread wheat)
Lineage: Eukaryota; Viridiplantae; Streptophyta; Magnoliopsida; Poales; Poaceae
Description: partial small subunit ribosomal RNA
Source: RNAcentral